Molecule: long non-coding RNA, 2308 nt
Filed under: Piliocolobus tephrosceles (Ugandan red Colobus)
Lineage: Eukaryota; Metazoa; Chordata; Mammalia; Primates; Cercopithecidae
Description: lncRNA (ENSPTEG00000028520.1)
Source: RNAcentral
AGUGAUAGUUAAAAAUAGUUAUCAAACUACAUGUAUAUAUAUGUUAUAUUCUAUGUUUUGUCAUUUUUUUUGUCAAUAAAAUUGUCUAUCUAAAUUUUAUAAUAUCUAUUUUUAUCUUCGUUUUUUUAUUUUUUAUUUUUUUUGUAGUUGCUUAUUUUAUUUUAUUUUUUCUUUUGUGGCCGUUUACGUCACCCAUUUUUUUGAUGGUUAUUUUAUAUGUUUGUUCCGAAAAAAAAUGAACUACAUAUACUCUUUAUGUGAAAAUAUAGGGGAAAAUGAGAAAAAGUUGAUUUCAGAUGAAUUAGGAAAUAUACUUGAUGAUUUUCCAGAUAAGAGCAAAUAUCAUGUGUCUGAAUUAGUUGUUGUAAGUAGAACCAGGUUCUUUAAGUUAUUGAGUAAUUAUGGUGAAUUUUUACUAUUAGAAUCGUCUUCUAGAGUAAUAAACAGUUACGAAAAUAUUUUACUGUUAUUACAUAAAGCCAAAAUAUUUGAACGAUUUUUUAAAUGCUUGCAAAUAAAAAAUGAUAAUUUGAAUAUAAAAAAAAACUUUGAAAAGGAUAUUUUAAUGUUUAUCAAUUAUUUAGAAGAAGAAAAAAAAAAACAAAAAAAAAAAAGAAAAAAAAAGAUAAAAAAAAAAAAAAAAAAAAAAAAAACAAAAAGAAAAACCAUUUUUAACACGGAAGAAGUAAGUAAUAUGCAUAAAAAACAAAAGAACAUAGAAUUUGUAUAUAAAUUAAUGUCAAAUGAUAAAGAAGCUGUGUCAUUUUUAGGAACUCAUUAUAAUGUUUUUCAUAAAAAUUUUGAAAGAGCCCAAAUAGCUUUAGUAGCUGUAUUUUUGUACCUAACGGGGUAUAACCAUAGCAAUAGAACAGAAUGCCUGAACAAAAACUAUUCAGAACAUGUAUAUACUAAAGAACAAAAAGACGAUAUAUUAAUAAAUGAAAUUUUAGAAAUAAAAAAAAUAAAAAUAGCAUGUAAUUUAGCAAGACUAGGAGUUAUUGAUCUAAUAUCGAAAAGUCAAACAAACCAUCAGAAACAAAAUAAUCAAUGUGCAUCAUCAUCUUCUCAGUUUCAAGUGAGUGAUGAAAAACAGCUGGAAAAAAGUAUGGAAUUUUCCGAAUCUGAAAUUAGAGAGUUUGAGGAGUUUAGUGUUACGAUAUCUAAUGCGUUAUAUAAAGCGUUCGGUACCAAUAAAAAACUGAAUAAUACUGUACAUCGCAGUUUAGACGAGCUCGAGCUUUAUAAAAGAAAGGCUGCAGAAAAUAAACGCAAUAAAGAAUCUAAAGAAUUAUUGGUUGAUGAAAAAAAAAAAAACGGAGUCAAAUAUGAUUCAAAUGAUGAUAUCGAAAAGGAUGCAAACAGUUUUAAUAAAAUGAUCCCAAGUGGUACUAAUACAUUAAUGGGAGAUGUAGAAAAAAAUGGAUUACUACAUAAUACUAAUAACAAUAAUUGCUUCAAUAUAAGUAACGAAUCAAUAACAGUAGAUUUAAUAAAAAAAAAACGAGAAAAACAAAUAAAUAAAAUUAUAAAAAAAUGUGAAUGGAUUACACAGACUUAUCCAUUUGGUUUAUGCCCAAUAAUUGUUAAUAAUACAUUUUCACAUGAAUGGGAUGAACAAAUUGUUUUUAUGCGCCGUGAUUCUUAUAAUAUUCCUACUACUAUUAGAAAAAUAUAUCCAGAUCGUAGUGACUAUUAUAUUAUUCAAGAAGCUGCAACUGUGCCUACCUUUGCCAGUUCUUAUUUUAAAACAAAUGUUUCUUCUUCUUGUUAUUUAGAACAAUUUUAUAAACAUAAAAAUAAAAUAGAUGAUAAGUUACAAUGUAUGCAAUUUAGUACAGAAAAUAUUUUUAAUAAAGUAGCAACAAAAAAUAUGUAUCUAUUAAAAAGAUUGUUAAAAACGUAUAAGAGAAAUGUUAGUUUUAACGAAUCAAAUAAUGUACAAAUCAAAUAUGAUAACACUAUUGCUAUAACAAAUGACAAAAAUAUAAAUAUCUACUUAAAUAAUCGAAAAAUAAGUAACGAAUCCAACAGUUACCAAAAUUAUGAUAAUUCAUAUUAUUAUAAUUACGAUCUAAAUGGUUAUACCAAUUAUAAUCAUGUUGACAAAAACAGUGAAUCUUCUGAUAAUAGGUUGUUAGUACAAGAGGAUGGUAGUAUCGGUGGUGGUCAAAAUGGAAGUAGUAAUGAUGGCGGCCACACUGGAAGUAGUAAUGAUGGAGGUCAUAAUAAUGAAUGUGAUAGUCAUAUGAAUGGAAAAUUGUGGGUAAACAAUAACACAUUAACAAGUAACAGUUUUGCUCAGAAUAUC